Molecule: long non-coding RNA, 375 nt
Organism: Oncorhynchus tshawytscha (Chinook salmon)
Lineage: Eukaryota; Metazoa; Chordata; Actinopteri; Salmoniformes; Salmonidae
Source: Ensembl
UUAAGUGUCAGGAAUCAGAAGUGCCCCACUCACAGCCAAUACACUACAGUCCAGUCUGGCUCUCUGUCAAGAGUAGAAUACUAGAGCAGGCCAUACUGGGAGGACAAAAGGAACGCCUUAUCCUCCCACUGGAAUCAGACAGACCUGGAGAUUAACCAGACAGGUCACCCCAACCCACGGGGAGGUUAAACAGACAGGUCACCCCAACCCACGGGGAGGUUAACCAGACAGGUCACCCCAACCCACGGGGAGGUUAAACAGACAGGUCACCCCAACCCACGGGGAGGUUAAACAGACAGGUCACCCCAACCCACGGGGAGGUUAAACAGACAGGUCACCCCACGGGGAGGUUAAACAGACAGGUCACCCCACGGG